RNAcentral lists this ribosomal RNA (476 nucleotides) under uncultured Rhodopila sp. RNAcentral describes it as "bacterial SSU rRNA". It matches the Rfam family "Bacterial small subunit ribosomal RNA", at positions 8 to 526 of the family's 1533-position model. Lineage: Bacteria; Pseudomonadati; Pseudomonadota; Alphaproteobacteria; Acetobacterales; Acetobacteraceae. The record is from RNAcentral.
AGAGUUUGAUCCUGGCUCAGAACGAACGCUGGCGGCAGGCUUAACACAUGCAAGUCGCACGGGCAGCUUCGGCUGUCAGUGGCGGACGGGUGAGUAACGCGUAGGUAUCUAUCCUUGGGUGGGGGACAACCGUGGGAAACUACGGCUAAUACCGCAUGAUGUCUGAGGACCAAAGGCGCAAGUCGCCUGGGGAGGAGCCUGCGUACGAUUAGCUAGUUGGUGGGGUAAAGGCCUACCAAGGCGACGAUCGUUAGCUGGUCUGAGAGGAUGAUCAGCCACACUGGGACUGAGACACGGCCCAGACUCCUACGGGAGGCAGCAGUAGGGAAUCUUGGACAAUGGGCGAAAGCCUGAUCCAGCCAUGCCGCGUGAGUGAUGAAGGCCUUAGGGUUGUAAAGCUCUUUCGCCAGGGAAGAUAAUGACGGUACCUGGAUAAGAAGCCCCGGCUAACUUCGUGCCAGCAGCCGCGGUAAUAC